Paramuricea clavata is the source of this 683-nucleotide non-coding RNA. The record is from the annotation of a GenBank genome assembly. NCBI's taxonomy places the organism in Eukaryota, Metazoa, Cnidaria, Anthozoa, Malacalcyonacea, Plexauridae.
AUUAAUACUUUGUCCGUCUAAGAAAUAUUUUUGGCAAAAUCUUUGGCAAAAUGGUUAAAUUCGAUAAGAUUUAUACACAAUUUGUCGAAGGUUAGUAUUAUUGUUUGUUUUAAACUGUGAGAGAAGAUUAAUUGUGUAGUAGAACACACCUCUGAGGCUCUGACCGAGUAUUUAGGGCAAAAUGUGCCUUCAUAUUUGGCUUCGUAUAGCGUUUUAUAAUGUUUAUAUUUAUAAAACUAAAGUCUGGGUUAUAAACUGAAACAUGACCUUUAGUUUUUGAUAUUCUUCAUAGUCGAGUUUAAAUUGGCCUAAUUUAUAGUUAGUUACCACUAGAAAUGCGACGAUAUUUUGUUAAUAUAUCAUAUAUGCAACAGUGUUUACAAUUACUUUUGAAUAAUAAGUGAUUUGGUUUUGUUUCAGAUACUAUUACAUGUUGCUUCAUUUUACCUAGGCCUCGGGCCACUAACAACGUCUGCGCAGGAGGCUACAUUUUACCAUAAAUUGUAUUAAAAAAGUGAUUUGCUCAUUUGGCUGAUGUUACAGUUUUCUGAUGUGUUUUGUUUGGAUGAUAUUAGAACAAUUUCAAUAUGAAAGUGCAGGUGUCAUUAGACAUGAGCCAUAAUGUAUAUAUAAAAAUACUGAUAAAAAUACUGACAUAAUACUGAUAAAAUCCGUAUCCAGCU